Molecule: long non-coding RNA, 39790 nt
Filed under: Triticum aestivum (bread wheat)
Lineage: Eukaryota; Viridiplantae; Streptophyta; Magnoliopsida; Poales; Poaceae
Description: long non-coding RNA (TAES_LNC013058)
Source: RNAcentral
CGUGGUUUCCGUUCGUGCGAGCUAGAUCGUGUCCCAGCUAGAGUCCCCGCGGAGUGGAGUUCACCACCUUCGUCGUUGUUCCGCUGCUAGAAGAUUUCCGCUGCUUCGAGUUGUUCUGCUGCUAGCAUAGAGCAAGUGUAGUAUCGCAGGCAUAGUGUCGUCGUGCUGAUGUGAACCUUUGUAACAUCAGACCUUUGUAUUUAUUCUUGUAAUAAGAGCUGAUUUGUUCUAUGUCAAGCAGUGCCGUAUUGACUUCUCCUCAAUCUCUGGGCUGGAAUACGGGGCGUUCCGGUUUCUCUGAGCCGGGGUGCCACAGGCUUGGUAUCAGAGCAGGUCUGGCUGUAGGACGCCCUAGUCAGCGCGAGCGGUAGAAACCGGUAGUUUAAAGUCCGACUUGUUUAUUGCAUUUGGUUGCUGCAUUUGUUUGUUGCAUAGCCUACAUAUAGCAUCAUUAUUUGUUACUAACGGUUUAUCUGGUGAAUGUAGAUGGCAUCGGUUCGGAUCCACUAUAGCUCAGCCUCUGCAUUUCUCCAGUUCCUUUUUCUUUGGAUGUUUGGUGUCAUUUCUGUCCCAGCAGAGUGAUGCCAAGUGAUCCUGACACUGUUUGUAGAAAUGGUGCUCAGGUAUCGCGUUGAUGUCUUUCUUUCAGUCUCGCCUAUCGUUUCGGUGAUAGACAUGCUUCUAUCCCAGAUCAUUCUUUUAUUUUGUAGUGUUGGCAACCCUUAAUGAUCUUAGCUAUAAAAAAGGGCAAUGUCAACAGCCUCAGUUUUUCCCCGCUAUCCUUAUUUCUUGGACGAGUACAGAUCUUUUUCCAUCCGCUUGAUAAUAAUGUGGUUGCGACCUUCGUGUCCCACUACAUGGUUACCGAGUGAGUCCUCGCCUCCGAGCUAGUCCAGGUUGCUACCUGGCUAAGCUAGCACUUGGUGUAGCGCUGUUUACACCAAUUUUUCCACACAUUUAUUCGUCCUCGUGCACAUCGUCACAGCAUGCUAGUUCGUAGAACCAGAGAUUCCGCGAAAUUUAUGUGCUUAAGUAGACAUGCAUAUUGUGUGACUAGCAGUAAUAUGUGACAUUGAUUGUGUGUGAACUGAUUGUUGUUGUGUGCUUUUGUAAGUUUAGUUUUCUUUUGCUUCUUUCUUUUUGGGCCCCGGUGUUACAUUAUUUUCCCCUAUAAAGAGUUGCUCAUCAACUGACACCGGACUCGAAGAAGCAAUAAGGAUUUCAAAUAAUUGGAAGAAGCUCAACUGAACAUUAUGGUCCACCCAGUCAACUGCAUUAUGGCAUUAAUAUCUGCUCAGAAUACCAAUAGUGUCUUGGAUUGAUUAUCAGCAUCAUGUCCCCAUCAGUACCAAAUCCUCACAACAGUAAUGAUCAAGUCAGCAGCAAGACAAGUCAGGUACAAGCCCAACGGUAUAUUUUCAGACAGAGGUAUGGAUCAUAUACAAAGUUUUGGCUCAACAAUGCAUGAUGCUUGAAAUAUGUUAUCAUCCGAAAUAAAGUCAGAAUGUGACAUGCUCAAGGAAGACAGUCAAACCAUUUUUCUCAUGCAAAUAAUCAGCCUCAGAAUAUUAUGGGCGUGUAUGGAUUUCAGUCUGCAUAUCAGUAUGAAGUUUUGGAUAUAAGAAACCCAGUAUUAUUCCACACGCUAUCGGAAGAAAUUUAUGAGGCAAGGCUCCUCAAUUUUCCUUAGCAUGAUAUGUGAACAAUUUCCGACCCACGAUACCCGGUCUUUCUCAACAAGAUACCUCGGUAAAAGCUUAUGACAGACGGAAAUGAAUUUUUCUCAACAAGCAAAACCGAGGAGAAGCUUCUCAAGUACGGGACUCAGGCUUCUCCAGCACAAUAAUCAGACCAAGCUUCGUGUGUAAGCUAUAGAGCCUUUUUCUACACGAUACCCAGACAAAAGAUUUGAGCAGAAGUUAACAAGUCCUCCUCAGCAAGCUACUCGGAUGUCACGCCCAAGAUGCGACCCUAUCCUAAAGGAACUCGAAGGUCCCGCCUUGGAUAGAAGCGCAUCUUGAAGACGCUUUUGCAAGGUGGAUAUCAUUACAUCAACAUUACAUAAUAGAUGGGGAUACAUACAAGACAUACAAAUGCCGCAAGAAUACAUCAAUCCAUCAUACACAAGAUCAACAUCCGACUACGGAUGAAACACAAACAGGGACUCAAACGACAUCCACCCUGCUAGCCCAGGCUGCCGACCAGGAACCUAACCCCAGAUCGACGAAGAAGAAGAACUCCAACACAAAUAAACAUCGCUCUCGCAUCAUGAUGAUCGCAUAACAUGUACCUGCAACUGUUGUUGUAGUAAACUGUGAGCCACGAGGACUCAGCAAUCCCAUUACCAUGGGUAUCAAGACUAACAAAGCUUAACGGGUAAGGAAGGGGUAAAGUGGCGAGGUUGCAGCAGCGGCUAAGCAAAGUAUGGUGGCUAACUUACGAAUACAAGAGCGAGAAGAGGAGCUGAACAAGCGGACGACAACUAGUAAGGAUCAAGAAGUGAUCCUAAACUCCUACUUACAUCAAACAUAACCCCAAAACCGUGUUCUCCUCUCGAACAACCCCGAAAAGAGACAAUCACGGUUACGCACGCGGUUGGUGUAUUUUAGAAGAGUUUACUUCAAGUUUACUACAACCGGAUAUUAACAAAUUCCCAUCUGCCACAUAACCGCGGGCACGACUUUCGAAAGUUCAAACCCUGCAAGGGUGUCCCAACUUAGCCCAUUAUAAGCUCUCACGAUCAACGAAGGAUAUUCCUUCUCCCGGGAAGACCCGAUCAGUCUUGGAAUCCCGGUUACAAGACAUUUCGACAAUGGUAAAACAAAUCCAGCAAGACCUCCCGGCGUGCCGACACCCUGAUAGUAGCCGCACGUAUCUUAUCUCAGGCCACGACCGGAUGAGCAGUCCGUACAACUAAAACCAGGCCUCGAGUUUCCCUGAGGUGACGCUGCAAGGGGCUCUAGUUUGGACCAACACUUAGAGAAGCAUUGGCCCGGGGGGGGGGGGGCUAAAAUAAAGAUGACCAUCGGGUUAAUUACUCCCAAGGGAAAGGUAUAGGUGGUAGGUAGGCAAAUGGUAAAACCAAUGUUGGGCCUUGCUGGAGGAGUUUUAUUCAAGGCGAACUGUCAAGGGGUUCCCAUAACACCCAACCGCGUUAGGGACGCAAAAACCGGGAACAUAAUACCGAUAUGACGGAAACUAGGGCGGCAAGAGUGGAACAAAACACCAGGCAUAAGGCCGAGCCUUCCACCCUUUACCAAGUAUAUAGAUGCAUUAAUAAUAUAAGAGAUAUUGUGAUAUCCGAACAUAAACAUAAUCCAACAUGGAGCAAUCUUCAUCUUCACCUGCAACUAGCAAUGCUAUAAGAGGGGCUGAGAAAAUGCGGUAACAUAGCCAAACAACGGUUUGCUAGGAAGGGUGACAAAGGUUAGAGGUUCAUGGCAUUUUGGGGAGGCUUGAUAAGCAAGUGGUAGGUAAUACGGCAUAGCGAUGGCAUCGAGGCAACUAGCAUAGCAAUGAUAGUAAUAAGAUCCAAGGUGACGGUCAUCUUGCCUGAAAUCCCGCUAGGAAGAAGAACGAGUCCAUGAAGAAGAUGAAGCCACGAAGACGAACCAAGCGUAGACGGACGAAUCCUCACGAUCACAACGAAACGGGAACUAUCGAGAAGAAGCACACAACAUGGUAAACACACCACACAUGAACAAGGCAUGAUGCUCAACCAAGUAUGAUGCAUGACAAGGCUACAUGAGGCUACACAUGGCAAGAGAUGAUGGAUACAAGAACAACACAUCAAAGCAAGUUUAAAUGAGGCCGGAAACAACAUAUAACAAUUCCGGUAAAUCCCCAUAUGCAAAUUUCGAAAUUGGUCCAUAUCUGAAUAAACCUUAUGUUCAAGUUGUUAAAAAGCAAGUUAAGAUGCACCAAAUGAUCUACACGAAAUUCUAGUCAAGUUACAUAUAAAGUUCAUUUAAUUUGGAGCUACGGCCUAGAAGAUAUGAGCAAAAACAAGUUAAACAUGGCAUUGAUGCAAAAUGCAUUCAAACAUCAAGCAAACACACUCAAAACAUGGAUGCAACAAGGUAACAUGAAACUACAUGCAAAACUAAGCAAGUUUCAUAUAGAGCACACUCAAAGCGGAGCAACGGUUCAACACAUACACAUGAAACAAGUUUAAAGGACAAGCUGUCCAAAACAGCAACUAGGCAUCUUGCAAGCAUCAAAACAAUAUGCUAUAGCACCUCAACAUGAAAUCAAAUGACACGGACGUGAUGUACAGGUAAAGCAUUACAAAACAUGAACGCUGAGCUAUCUCCAGAAAUCUCUAGAACAUGCUCAAAAGGACAUGGCAACAUUGCAAAUAAUAACAGUUUCACAUACUUGGCAGAAAUCACUGUGCAUGGCAGAAAUAACAUAAGGUUGCAAUGUUUAGAGCUAUCAAAUAACAUGCUACAGAAACUUAUCAUGGCAACCAAAGGCAUGACAUGCUAGUACUAAAAGCAAUUAAAAAAACUCCUUAGUGAAAUUAUUCCAAAGAUCAUCAGAAAAGAUGGUAGCACCCAUGCAAACAUGGCAAAUGAUAUGACAUAUUCAGACUGAAAAUAACAGCACAUGGCAGGAACAACGACAAGUAGGCAUGUUGGUGAGCUUGUAAAACUCACUAUAGAGCAUUAAAUAGCAUGAAAAGGUAACCAACAGUAAGAAGACAUGUUCAUGAAGCUAAGAAUGGCAAUAUCAUAGACAUAGGGUGCAUGGAUAACUAGCAAAACACAUGGCAAAACUGAACUUAUUGUUAACAGGCUGACAGCAACAUUAUUUAGCAAUUUGAGAGCAAGAUUACAACAAUGUACAGCAGGUUAUAAAUGCAAACAAAAGCAUGGAUUGAUAGAGCAUCACAUUUGUAGCAAAACAUCCUUAGUGAACAUCUCUAUAUUAUGCAUAUAUUAAUUGGUAGCAUCAAGCAAAGAUAGCAACAUGAUAUACCAGUUUCAGCAUUGACAGAACAUUAAUAGCAAGUAGGCCACUUCACGAGCUUGAUGCACUCACCACAAGGCACAAAAAAAUACAUGGAUUGCCCCACUGUAAAGAUGGCAUGAAUAUGCUCCUAAAACAUGUAGACAUAAUGCUCAAAGGAUGCACACGCAAAAUGCAAAGAAAAUGACAAAUCACCAAGUUAUAACAAGUUUCAGCAGUUAACAUCAUAUAGCACUUUUGUAACGUUGAUUAGAGCAUCAAGAUGAACACAAACAAGCAUACCACAAUGGAACAAAAUGAAGACCGUCUCAUAAUGAACAAUUUUACAUAUCAUACACGCAAAUCGGAGCUACGGUCAUGGAGAUAUGAUGCAAUGAAUAUGACAACAGAAUGUAAAGUUUUCAGGACUUGGAAGAAAAACCACCUCGCGGAAACUGGACGCGGACGACCCGGGACGGAGAGAACCGGGACGGGGCACGCGUGUUUGGAUCAGUGAGCGGGUGGAUCUGGUCCCACUUCACCGGAUCCGGCCGGAGGACGAACUCCGGCGACGGCAGCAACUUCCGGCGAGGUGGCGACUGGCGGGGGAGGCACGGGAUGGCGCGAAGAGGAGGCGGGGCGAGCGGGCGGCGCCGGCGAGGGAGGACGGCAGCGGGGCUGGACGUCGGCGGGCGGAGCACGGCGGCGUGGGNNNNNNNNNNNNNNNNNNNNNNNNNNNNNNNNNNNNNNNNNNNNNNNNNNNNNNNNNNNNNNNNNNNNNNNNNNNNNNNNNNNNNNNNNNNNNNNNNNNNNNNNNNNNNNNNNNNNNNNNNNNNNNNNNNNNNNNNNNNNNNNNNNNNNNNNNNNNNNNNNNNNNNNNNNNNNNNNNNNNNNNNNNNNNNNNNNNNNNNNNNNNNNNNNNNNNNNNNNNNNNNNNNNNNNNNNNNNNNNNNNNNNNNNNNNNNNNNNNNNNNNNNNNNNNNNNNNNNNNNNNNNNNNNNNNNNNNNNNNNNNNNNNNNNNNNNNNNNNNNNNNNNNNNNNNNNNNNNNCUGGCGCGGGCUCGUGGGCCGGCGGCGCCUGCAGAGGUGGGAGGAGGCGCGGGGACACAUGGCGGCGGCGGAUUGGCUGCGGAGGCCGGCUGGACGUGUCCGGCGGCGCGGGGAGGUGGAAGCUAGGGUUCAUCCGCGAAAAAUGGAGGGGGAGGACCUAUUUAUAGGUAGAGGGAGUUAGGAGAGUCCAAAUGAGGUGCGGUUUUCGCCCACACGAUCAUGAUCCAAUGACCGAGAGCAUGGAGGGGGUUUGGAUGGGCUCAUGGGCUGUGGUGAAGGGGUGCUGGGCUGCAAAGAGAGAGGGGUUUCGGGCUACGCGGUUAACCGUUAGGGCGUCAAACGAACUCCGAAUGCGACAAAAAUUGACAGGCGGUCUUGUUGGAAAUAUGCCCUAGAGGCAAUAAUAAAAUGGUUAUUAUUAUAUUUCCUUGUUCAUGAUAAUUGUCUAUUGUUCAUGCUAUAAUUGUGUUAUCCGGAAAUCGUAAUACAUGUGUGAAUACAUAGACCACAACGUGUCCCUAGUAAGCCUCUAGUUGACUAGCUCGUUGAUCAACAGAUAGUCAUGGUUUCCUGACUAUGGACAUUGGAUGUCAUUGAUAACGGGAUCACAUCAUUAGGAGAAUGAUGUGAUGGACAAGACCCAAUCCUAAGCAUAGCACAAAGAUCGUGUAGUUCGUUUGCUAGAGCUUUUCCAAAUGUCAAGUAUCAUUUCCUUAGACCAUGAGAUUGUGCAACUCCCGGAUACCGUAGGAGUGCUUUGGGUGUGCCAAACGUCACAACGUAACUGGGUGGCUAUAAAGGUGCACUACGGGUAUCUCCGAAAGUGUCUGUUGGGUUGGCACGAAUCGAGACUGGGAUUUGUCACUCCGUUUGACGGAGAGGUAUCUCUGGGCCCACUCGGUAAUGCAUCAUCAUAAUGAGCUCAAUAUGACCAAGUGUUUGGUCACGGGAUCAUGCAUUACGGUACGAGUAAAGUGACUUGCCGGUAACGAGAUUGAACGAGGUAUUGGGAUACCGACGAUCGAAUCUCGGGCAAGUAACGUACCGAUUGACAAAGGGAAUUGUAUACGGGAUUGAUUGAAUCCUCGACAUCGUGGUUCAUCCGAUGAGAUCAUCGUGGAACAUGUGGGAGCCAACAUGGGUAUCCAGAUCCUGCUGUUGGUUAUUGACCGGAGAGUCGUCUCGGUCAUGUAUGCAUGUCUCCCGAACCCGUAGGGUCUACACACUUAAGGUUCGGUGACGCUAGGGUUGUAGAGAUAUUAGUAUGCGGAAACCCGAAAGUUGUUCGGAGUCCCGGAUGAGAUCCCGGACGUCACGAGGAGUUCCGGAAUGGUCCGGAGGUGAAGAAUUAUAUAUAGGAAGUCCAGUUUCGGCCACCGGGAAAGUUUCGGGGGUUAUCGGUAUUGUACCGGGACCACCGGAAGGGUCCCGGGGGUCCACCGGGUGGGGCCACUUAUCCCGGAGGGCCCCAUGGGCUGAAGUAGGGAGGGGAACCAGCCACUGGUGGGCUGGUGCGCCCCCCUUGGGCCUCCCCUGCGCCUAGGGUUGGAAACCCUGGGGGUGGGGGGGCGCCCCACUUGGCUUGGGGGGCAAGCCACCCCCUUGGCCGCCGCCCCCUGGAGAUGGGAUCUCCCAGGGCCGGCGCCCCCCAGGGACCCUAUAUAUAGUGGGGGGGGGGAGGGCAGCAGUACCCUAGCCCCUGGCGCCUCCCUCUCCCUCCCGUGACACCUCUCCCUCCUGCUUGCUCUUGGCGUAGCCCUGCCGGGAUCCCCGCUACUUCCACCACCACGCCGUCGUGCUGCUGGAUCUCCAUCAACCUCUCCUUCCCCCUUGCUGGAUCAAGAAGGAGGAGACGUCGCUGCUCAGUACGUGUGUUGAACACGGAGGUGCCGUUCGUUCGGCGCUCGGUCAUCAGUGAUUUGGAUCACGACGAGUACGACUCCAUCAACCCCGUUCACUUGAACGCUUCCGCUCGCGAUCUACAAGGGUAUGUAGAUGCACUCCUCUCCCUCGUUGCUAGAUGACUCCAUAGAUUGAUCUUGGUGAUGCGUAGAAAAUUUUAAAUUUCUGCUACGAUCCCCAACAGUGGCAUCAUGAGCCAGGCCUAUGCGUAGUUUCUAUGCACGAGUAGAACACAAGCUUGUUGUGGGCGUAGAUGUUGUCAAUUUCCUUGCCACUACUAGUCUUAUCUUGUUUCGGCGGCAUUGUGGGAUGAAGCGGCCCGGACCGACCUUACACGUACGCGUACGUGAGACAGGUUCCACCGACUGACAUGCACUAGUUGCAUAAGGUGGCUAGCGGGUGUCUGUCUCUCCCACUUUAAUCGGAACGGAUUCGAUGAAAAGGGUCCUUAUGAAGGGUAAAUAGAAAUUGGCAUAUCACGUUGUGGUUUUACGUAGGUAAGAAACGUUCUUGCUAGAAACCUAUAGAAGCCACGUAAAAACUUGCAACAACAAUUAGAGGACGUCUAUCUUGUUUUUGCAGCAUAUGCCUUGUGAUGUGAUAUGGCCAAAAGGAUGUGAUGAAUGAGAUAUGUGUGAUGUAUGAGAUUGAUCAUGUUCUUGUAAUAGGAAUCACGACUUGCAUGUCGAUGAGUAUGACAACCGGCAGGAGCCAUAGGAGUUGUCUUUAUUUUUUGUAUGACCCGCGUGUCAUUGAAUAACGCCAUGUAAAGUACUUUACUUUAUUGCUAAACACGUUAGCCAUAGAAGUAGAGGUAAUCGUUGGCGUGACAACUUCAUGAAGACACGAUGAUGGAGAUCAUGGUGUCAUGCCGGUGACGAAGAUGAUCAUGGCGCCCCGAAGAUGGAGAUCAAAGGAGCAAAAUGAUAUUGGCCAUAUCAUGUCACUAUUUGAUUGCAUGUGAUGUUUAUCAUGUUUUACAUCUUAUUUGCUUAGAACGACGGUAGCUUAAAUAAGAUGAUCCCUCGCAAUAAUUUCAAGAAAGUGUUCCCCCUAACUGUGCACCGUUGCGAAGGUUCGUUGUUUCGAAGCACCACGUGAUGAUCGGGUGUGAUAGAUUCUAACGUUCGAAUACAAUGGGUGUAAGCCAGAUUUACACACGCAAUACACUUAGGUUGACUUGACGAGCCUAGCAUGUACAGACAUGGCCUCGGAACACGGAAGACCGAAAGGUCGAGCAUGAGUCGUAUAGAAGAUACGAUCAACAUGAAGAUGUUCACCGAUGUUGACUAGUCCGUCUCACGUGAUGAUCGGACACGGCCUAGUUGACUCGGAUCAUGUUUCACUUAGAUGACUAUGAGGGAUGUCUAUCUGAGUGGGAGUUCAUUGAAUAAUUUGAUUAGAUGAACUUAAUUAUCAUGAACUUAGUCUAAAAUCUUUACAAUAUGUCUUGUAGAUCAAAUGGCCCACGUUGCCCUCAACUUCAACGCGUUCCUAGAGAAAACCAAGCUGAAAGAUGAUGGCAGCAACUAUACGGACUGGGUCCGGAACCUGAGGAUCAUCCUCAUAGCUGCCAAGAAAGAUUAUGUCCUAGAAGCACCGCUAGGUGAAGCACCAAUCCUAGAGAACCAAGACGUUAUGAACGCUUGGCAGUCACGUGCUGAUGAUUACUCCCUCGUUCAGUGCGGCAUGCUUUACAGCUUAGAACCGGGGCUCCAAAAGCGUUUUGAGCAACACGGAGCAUAUGAGAUGUUCGAAGAGCUGAAAAUGGUUUUCCAAGCUCAUGCCCGGGUCGAGAGAUAUGAAGUCUCUGACAAGUUCUUUAGUUGUAAGAUGGAGGAAAACAGUUCUGCCAGUGAGCACAUACUCAGAAUGUCUAGGUUACACAACCGCUUGACUCAGCUGGGAGUUAAUCUCCCGGAUGAUGCGGUCAUUGACAGAAUCCUUCAGUCGCUUCCACCGAGCUACAAGAGCUUUGUGAUGAACUUCAAUAUGCAGGGGAUGGAAAAGACCAUUCCUGAGGUAUAUUCAAUGCUGAAAUCAGCGGAGGUGGAGAUCAGAAAGGAACAUCAAGUGUUGAUGGUGAAUAAAACCACUAAGUUCAAGAAAGGCAAGGGUAAGAAGCACUUCAAGAAGGACGGCAAGGGAGUUGCCGCGCCCGGUAAGGCAGUUACCGGGAAGAAGCCAAAGAAUGGACCCAAGCCUGAGACUGAGUGCUUUUAUUGCAAGGGAAGUGGUCACUGGAAGCGGAAUUGCCCCAAAUACUUAGCAGACAAGAAGGCCGGCAACACCAAAGGUAUAUGUGAUAUACAUGUAAUUGAUGUGUACCUUACCAGUACUCGUAGUAGCUCCUGGGUAUUUCAUACCGGUGCGGUUGCUCAUAUUUGUAACUCAAAACAGGAGCUGCGGAAUAAACGGAGACUGGCGAAGGACGAGGUGACGAUGCGCGUCGGGAAUGGUUCCAAGGUCGAUGUGAUCGCCGUCGGCACGCUACCUCUGCAUUUACCUACGGGAUUAGUUUUAAACCUCAAUAAUUGUUAUUUAGUGCCAGCUUUGAGCAUGAACAUUGUAUCAGGAUCUCGUUUAAUGCGAGAUGGCUACUCAUUUAAAUCCGAGAAUAAUGGUUGUUCUAUUUAUAUGAGAGAUAUGUUUUAUGGUCAUGCCCCGCUGGUUAAUGGUUUAUUCUUAAUGAAUCUCGAACGUAGUGUUACACAUAUUCAUAGUGUGAAUACCAAAAGAUGUAAGGUUGAUAAUGAUAGUCCCACAUACUUGUGGCACUGCCAUCUUGGUCACAUUGGUGUCAAACACAUGAAGAAGCUCCAUGCUGAUGGACUUUUACAGUCUCUUGAUUAUGAAUCAUUUGACACGUGCGAACCAUUCCUCAUGGGUAAGAUGACCAAGACUCCAUUCUCCGGAACAAUGGAGAGAGCAACCAACUUAUUGGAAAUCAUACAUACUGAUGUGUGCGGUCCAAUGAGUGUUGAGGCUCGCGGUGGCUAUCGUUAUGUUCUCACUCUCACUGAUGACUUGAGUAGAUAUGGGUAUGUCUACCUAAUGAAACACAAGUCUGAGACCUUUGAAAAGUUCAAGGAAUUUCAGAGUGAGGUUGAGAAUCAACGUGACAGGAAAAUAAAGUUCUUACGAUCAAAUCAUGGAGGGGAAUAUUUGAGUCACGAAUUUGGCACACACUUAAGGAAAUGUGGAAUAGUUUCACAACUCACGCCGCCUGGAACACCUCAGCGAAAUGGUGUGUCCGAACGUCGUAAUCGCACUCUAUUGGAUAUGGUGCGAUCUAUGAUGUCUCUUACCGAUCUACCACUCUCAUUUUGGGGCUAUGCUUUAGAGACUGCCUCAUUCACUUUAAAUAGGGCUCCGUCGAAAUCCGUUGAGACGACACCGUAUGAAUUAUGGUUUGGGAAGAAACCUAAGCUGUCAUUUCUAAAAGUUUGGGGAUGCGAUGCUUAUGUCAAGAAACUUCAACCUGAAAAGCUCGAACCCAAGUCGGAAAAAUGCAUCUUCAUAGGAUACCCUAAGGAAACCAUUGGGUAUACCUUCUACCUCAGAUCCGAAGGCAAGAUUUUUGUUGCCAAGAACGGGUCCUUUCUGGAGAAAGAGUUUCUCUCGAAGGAAGUAAGUGGGAGGAAAGUGGAACUUGAUGAGGUGAUAGUCACCCCUUCCGAACCGGAAAGUAGCGCAGCGCGGGAAGAUGUGCCUGUGGUGCCUGCACCGACUGGGGAGGAAGCUAAUGAUGAUGAUCAUGAAGCUUCAGAUCAAGUUACUACUGAACUUCGUAGGUCCACAAGGACACGUUCCACACCAGAGUGGUAUGGCAACCCUGUCCUGGAAAUCAUGUUGUUAGACAACGGUGAACCUUCGAACUAUGAAGAAGCAAUGGCGGGCCCAGAUUUCGACAAAUGGCUAGAAGCCAUGAAAUCCGAGAUAUGAUCCAUGUAUGAAAACGAAGUAUGGACUUUGACUGACUUGCCCGAUGAUCGGCGAGCGAUAGAAAACAAAUGGAUCUUUAAGAAGAAGACAGACGCGGAUGGUAAUGUGACCAUCUAUAAGGCUCGACUUGUCGCUAAGGGUUAUCGACAAGUUCAAGGGGUUGACUACGAUGAGACUUUGUCACCCGUAGCAAAGCUGAAGUCCGUCCGAAUCAUGUUAGCAAUUGCCGCAUUCUAUGAUUAUGAGAUAUGGCAAAUGGACGUCAAAACGGCAUUCCUUAACGGCUUCCUUAAGGAAGAAUUGUAUAUGAUGCAGCCGGAAGGUUUUGUCGAUCCUAAGAAUGCUAACAAGGUAUGCAAGCUCCAGCGCUCCAUCUAUGGGCUGGUGCAAGCAUCUCAGAGUUGGAACAUUCGAUUUGAUGAGAUGAUCAAAGCGUUUGGGUUUACACAGACUUAUGGAGAAGCCUGUGUUUACAAGAAAGUGAGUGGGAGCUCUGUAGCAUUUCUCUUAUUAUAUGUGGAUGACAUACUAUUGAUGGGAAAUGAUAUAGAAUUCUUGGAAAGUAUAAAGGUCUAUUUGAAUAAGUGUUUUUCAAUGAAGGACCUUGGAGAAGCUGCUUAUAUAUUAGGCAUCAAGAUCUAUAGAGAUAGAUCAAGACGCCUCAUUGGUCUUUCACAAAGUAUGUACCUUGACAAGAUAUUGAAGAAGUUCAAUAUGGAUCAGUCAAAGAAGGGGUUCUUGCCUGUAUUGCAAGGUGUGCAAUUGAGCAUGGCUCAAUGCCCGACCACGACAGAAGAUAGAGAAAAGAUGAGUGUCAUCCCCUAUGCCUCGGCCAUAGGGUCUAUUAUGUAUGCCAUGCUGUGUACCAGACCUGAUGUAAACCUUGCCGUAAGUUUGGUAGGAAGGUACCAAAGUAAUCCUGGCAUGGAACACUGGACAACGGUCAAGAAUAUCCUGAAGUACCUGAAAAGGACUAAGGAUAUGUUUCUCGUAUAUGGAGGUGACGAAGAGCUCGUCGUAAAGGGUUACGUCGACGCUAGCUUCGACACAGAUCUGGAUGACUCUAAGUCACAAUCCGGAUACGUGUAUAUUUUGAAUGGAGGGGCAGUAAGCUAGUGCAGUUGCAAGCAAAGCGUCGUGGCGGAAUCUACAUGUGAAGCGGAAUACAUGGCGGCCUCAGAGGCAGCACAGGAAGCAAUCUGGAUAAAGGAGUUCAUUACCGACCUAGGGGUGAUUCCCAAUGCGUCGGGCCCGAUGACUCUCUUCCGUGACAACACUUGAGCUAUUGCCCUUGCCAAGGAGCCCAGGUUUCACAGGAAGACCAGGCAUAUCAAGCGUCGCUUCAACUCCAUUCGUGAAAAUGUUCAAAAUGGAGACAUAGAUAUUUGUAAAGUACAUACGGACCUGAAUGUAGUAGAUCCGUUGACUAAACCUCUCCCUAGAGCAAAACAUGAUCAACACCAGAACUCUAUGGGUGUUCGAUUCAUCACAAUGUAACUAGAUUAUUGACUCUAGUGCAAGUGGGAGACUGUUGGAAAUAUGCCCUAGAGGCAAUAAUAAAAUGGUUAUUAUUAUAUUUCCUUGUUCAUGAUAAUUGUCUAUUGUUCAUGCUAUAAUUGUGUUAUCCGGAAAUCGUAAUACAUGUGUGAAUACAUAGACCACAAUGUGUCCCUAGUAAGCCUCUAGUUGACUAGCUCGUUGAUCAACAGAUAGUCAUGGUUUCCUGACUAUGGACAUUGUAUGUCAUUGAUAACGGGAUCACAUCAUUAGGAGAAUGAUGUGAUGGACAAGACCCAAUCCUAAGCAUAGCACAAAGAUCGUGUAGUUCGUUUGCUAGAGCUUUUCCAAAUGUCAAGUAUCAUUUCCUUAGACCAUGAGAUUGUGCAACUCCCGGAUACCGUAGGAGUGCUUUGGGUGUGCCAAACGUCACAACGUAACUGGGUGGCUAUAAAGGUGCACUACGGGUAUCUCUGAAAGUGUCUGUUGGGUUGGCACGAAUCUAGACUGGGAUUUGUCACUCCGUUUGACGGAGAGGUAUCUCUGGGCCCACUCGGUAAUGCAUCAUCAUAAUGAGAUCAAUAUGACCAAGUGUUUGGUCACGGGAUCAUGCAUUACGGUACGAGUAAAGUGACUUGCCGGUAACGAGAUUGAACGAGGUAUUGGGAUACCGACGAUCGAAUCUCGGGCAAGUAACGUACCGAUUGACAAAGGGAAUUGUAUACGGGAUUGAUUGAAUCCUCGACAUCGUGGUUCAUCCGAUGAGAUCAUCGUGGAACAUGUGGGAGCCAACAUGGGUAUCCAGAUCCCGCUGUUGGUUAUUGACCGGAGAGUCGUCUCGGUCAUGUCUGCAUGUCUCCCGAACCCGUAGGGUCUACACACUUAAGGUUCGGUGACGCUAGGGUUGUAGAGAUAUUAGUAUGCAGAAACACGAAAGUUGUUCGGAGUCUCGGAUGAGAUCCCGGACGUCACGAGAAGUUCCGGAAUGGUCCGAAGGUGAAGAAUUAUAUAUAGGAAGUCCAGUUUCGGCUACCGGGAAAGUUUCGGGGGUUAUCGGUAUUGUACCGGGACCACCGGAAGGGUCCCGGGGGUCCACCGGGUGGGGCCACCUAUCCCGGAGGGCCCCAUGGGCUGAAGUGGGGAGGGGAACCAGCCACUGGUGGGCUGGUGCGCCCCCCUUGGGCCUCCCCUGCGCCUAGGGUUGGAAACCCUGGGGGUGGGGGGGCGCCCCACUUGGCUUGGGGGGCAAGCCACCCCCUUGGCCGCCGCCCCCUGGAGAUGGGAUCUCCCAGGGCCGGCGCCCCCCCAGGGACCCUAUAUAUAGUGGGGGGAGGGAGGGCAGCAGUACCCUAGCCCCUGGCGCCUCCCUCUCCCUCCCGUGACACCUCUCCCUCCCGCUUGCUCUUGGCGAAGCCCUGCCGGGAUCCCCGCUACUUCCACCACCACGCCGUCGUGCUGCUGGAUCUCAUUCAACCUCUCCUUCCCCCUUGCUAGAUCAAGAAGGAGGAGACGUCACUGCUCAGUACGUGUGUUGAACGCGGAGGUGCUGUUCGUUCGGCGCUCGGUCAUCAGUGAUUUGGAUCACGACGAGUACGACUCCAUCAACCCCGUUCACUUGAACGCUUCCGCUCGCGAUCUACAAGGGUAUGUAGAUGCACUCCUCUCUCUCGUUGCUAGAUGACUCCAUAGAUUGAUCUUGGUGAUGCGUAGAAAAUUUUAAAUUUCUGCUACGAUCCCCAACAGGUCUACCUACUCUAAAACAACACCGCACGCCAAGUUGCAUCCCAUUCCGAGAACAUUUAAAUGCCACUCACGAAACGAGGUCUGAGAGGGGCAACGGGUGCGUGUUUGAGUGUCGGAACGUGAAACAGACAACGGGGCAAAGGACCUGAUGCAAGUUUUGAAAACAUGAGGAUGCAAUGCAGAUGAUGACAUGGCAAAGAUGCAACACGCAAGCGAAUGACAUGGCAAAGGCGGCGAAUAACUGGAAGACACCUGGCGCAUCAGAUCCGGGGCGUUGCAUCUCUCCUCCACUAACAAGAGAUCUCGUCCCGAGAUCUUAGGAACAAGACGGAAUAAAAGAGGAUGAGGUGAAACAAGAACAAAAGAGAGAGGAUGAACAAAGUCAAGAACACUCGAGUAGGAAAAGAAACGACGAAUAUGACGAGAAUCAAAGCUCCGAAACAAAAAUGAAUUCGAAACCACUCCGGUUAGUACAAGAUAGAAGCGGAAUAAGAAUGAAAGAAUUUAGGCAGAACUCUGACUAAACAUGGAAAGUGUUGAGGAUAUAGACCUUAGAGUCACCCGCCAGGAGGGGCCGGGUUACUCAUAAUGGUCAUUGCCAGAAGCCCGGCGACAAGCCUGAAGACGGUGGGCCAAAGAUGGGCUUAAGACCCGGAUAUGGCUUAAAAGCCCGUAGUUACAAUCAUUAUUAUGGUAGAACUUGUAGUGUAAGGCAAGAAUAGUUGAGAGUCCGAGCCGGACACUCUUAUGAGCCGGCCGGGACUCUGAGAGCUGCGGGGCGUCAGCCUCCCUAUAUAAAGGGAGGACCCGGCAGCGGUUUAGGGACGAGAACGAUCUCAUCGAGAGCCGGGCAUAGCAGUUUAGCUCCCUGGUGAUCGUAACCCUAAUCAAUACCACCUCAAACUAGACGUAGGCUUUUACCUUCACCGUAAGGGGCCGAACCAGUAUAAACCCUCGUGUUCCUUGUCCCGCAUUAACCCCUUCAAGCUUCCUAGCUGCGAUGGCUCCACGACUAAGUCCUAGCUCGAGGACAUCUGCCGUGACAAUUCCAUGACAGUUGGCGCCCACCGUGGGGCUAGCGCACAGUGGAUUUGAGUUCUUGAAGGGCAGCUUCGAAGGGCUCAAGGGAUACGCCGUGGGCCGGAUGACCAAGAGUCGUCGCGGCAAGCUCUACAUCGACGAUACAAACUGGGGCCCCGACGCCGGCUCAAUUGAGUACGGGUACCGGGUCCCCUUCGGCGGAAUUCACGUGUUCAUCGGCAAGAUUGGUGAGCCGGGCCCUGAGCCGGAUCUCUGCGCCGAUCUCAUCGAGACGGCUCAGCAUGCACGUCCCGCCCGGGCCCGGCCUGCCGUAAGGCAUGCUUUUGCGGGAUGCGUCCAUGGAGGGAUCUCUGAUCGAUCUGGGUCUGGUGAUGAGACGGCCGCCGGCUCUGACGGCGAGUCGUCCACCGAUGAGUCAAACUCGUUGUAUCAACUUCAAGAUGGCCGGCUCAUGGGUUAUUCCGAUGGUGACAGUGUUCCGGACCCGUUUGAGCCGCCAAGUCAGGUUGGGGUCUUUAUGACCGGUGCACAGCCUGUUCAGAACCCUGCUGCUGGAGCGGGAAACCCGGUGCCCUCGCCGGCUCAGGUGCUAAUGGAUCUCACGGACAAGAUGACGGCCCUGUUAACCGCCACGGUUGACCCGGAGGAUCAAGCUCAGCAUGAUGCGGAGGUGGCACAGUUAAAAUUGGAUCUAGUGAAGGCUAAGGAGGAUCUGGCAGCGGAAGGGAUCAGGAUGGCUGCAGAGCGGGCGGCUCUCGAUGCCCAAACCCAGUUGAUUCAAGCGCAGUCCUUCCGGCUCACGAUGGAUCAAAACGCGUCCAAUGAGGUCCUGAGAAGGAGGCAUCAAAAGGCCCAAUCUCGACUCCCUCCGGUUUACAAUCCACGCAACCUCUUCAACACGCCAGGUGCAGGGUCUAGUAACCCGCCAGGGGUCAUAGUGCCCGGGUCUGGGACCCCUAUUCAGCCACAAGUGAUGGGGCCUCCCCAGGUGCCCCCUGCCCCGCCUCAGUACGUGCCAAUACCACCGGGUCAUUAUAAUAACCCGCUGGAGAACAUGGUCGCUGCGGCAGCACGGCUGGCGGCUCUCCCAGUCGACGGCGACUCUCCGACGGCUAUUGAAACCCGCCGGGUCAGGGAACUCCUUCAGACAGCACUGGCGCAGCAAGAGGCGUACUCCUACAGCCGGAACAGGAUCCACUCGACCCCUCGUCCAGGCCAGAGCCCGAGUUACAGCAGACACAUGGUCUCAGCGACUGGCUCAAGUAACGUCCGACGCCGUGACCCGCCCCCUGGCCAUGGCCCGGCUCAUAAUGGAGCCUUUCACGCAGCAGACCAAGACAGAGCGCGGCAAGAGGCGGAGCAGGUGCCUCAGUUGACGGCUUACCAGACUCCCCCGGCUUAUCCGACGACGUCCGUCGAUGUGGGUAUCCCUACCAGGACUGGGGGUGUCCCUUGCUUAGUGCCAGCUAUCCGCAAUGAACGUCUACCCAAGGACUUCAAAGGCCCUAGGAAGGUGCCCAAUUACACGGCUAACUUACAACCCGCAGCCUGGAUCGAGAGUUACGAGAUGCCCAUGGAACUACUGGAGGUCAGUGAGGCGGCAAUGGCCAAGUACUUCACCAUGAUGUUGGAUGGGACUGCCCGCACUUGGUUGAAAGGGCUACCACCGAAUUCCAUCGGGUCUUGGGCUGAGCUGAAAGCCCGGUUCAUCCAAAACUUCAAGGAUACCUGUAGGCAGUCUAUGUCAAUUGUGGAUUUGACUAACUGUAAGCAGCAGGAGGGUGAAUCCACGACGCAUUGGGUUCUCCGGGUCAAGGAGAUCAUACAUUCAUUAGAUAAGAUGGAUGCCGGCUCUACAGUUUUAAUGUUGGAACAGAAUUGUCGUUUCGUGCCCCUGAAGAUGAAACUCGGGCGGCUUAAGCGCGACUGCAAUGAUAUGGGUACAUUAAUGGCGGCUCUUGUCAAGUACGCCGAUUCUGAUGGUACCAAGGAUCCCCCUUCAGAUGAUGAAAGGGCAGGUAAGGGAAAGAAGAAUGGCAAUGGCAAGGGUCCUCAGCAUAACCCGGGGAACCAAGGAGGAGGCAAGCGCAAGGCCGAUGGCAGCCUAGAGUUUGUAGCCAACGCCAGCUCACAAGGUAAUAACCAGCGGCGCAAAGGGAGGCCCCCUCCCCGAGGCGGCGGGUCAGGCCCGACGCUGGAGCAACUGUUGAAUGAGCCUUGUCCAAGGCACGGCUCUAGAGAGAAGCCAGCGACUCAUCUAUGGAAGGAUUGUGCAAUCAUGAAGGCCUUUAAGAAUUACAAUGGCCCGGGCGGCGGCUCAGGCGCCGGCGGCUUUCAUAGCCCGGGCGGUGGCUCAAAUUCUAAUCCUCAGAACGGUCAAGGGGGCUUUAACCAGCAGUCUGGCCAGGGUCAUCAACAGCAGCAGGGGGGUUAUCAGACCAAUCCAAAGCAGCUUAGCGGUGGACAGUAUCAUGUGUUUACCACUAGUUUGUGCAAGCGAGAUCAGAAGCUUCACAAGAGGGCUGUGAAUGCUGUUGAGCCGGCGGUUCCACGCUACUUGCGGUGGUCUGAAGAGCCUAUAGUGUGGAGCAGGGAGGAUCACCCUCCACGGGUGGAUAAUCCGGGUCACUUGGCCCUGGUGGUGGCUCCUCAGGUGGGAGGAUAUAAGUUCACUAAGGUGCUCAUGGAUGGAGGCAGCAGCAUCAACAUCCUCUAUUAUGAGACAUUCCGUCGUAUGGGGUUGAUUGAUAAGAACCUCAGCCAGUCCAACACUAUUUUCCACGGGGUGGUACCUGGUAAGUCGGCUUAUCCAGUCGGCAAGAUUGAGUUGGAAGUGGCCUUUGGAGAUGAGAACAACUACAGGGUGGAGAAAUUGACCUUUGAGGUGGUCAAGAUAAGAAGUCCAUACCAUGCUAUAUUUGGACGGCCGGCUUACGCCAAGUUCAUGGCACGACCGUGUUAUGUGUACUUACAGCUCAAGAUGCCGGGUCACAAUGGGACCAUUACGGUUCACGGCAGCCGGAAAGUGGCUCUGGAGUGUGAGGAAGGCGAUGCGGCUUAUGCAGAAUCUGUUUGUGCAACAGAGGAGUUGAAGUUUUACAAAGACAAUGUUGACCCAACAGAUAUGACCUCUCUGAAAAAGCCAACUACAGAGCAAGAGCCGGCAAUGAAAUUUAAGUCGGCCGAUGAGACUAAACUUGUUGAUUUUCUUCCAGGUGACUCAUCUCAGCAGUUUAGCAUCAGUGCCAAUCUGGAUCCAAAAUAGGAAAGCGCGCUCAUCGAGUUCAUCCGUGAGAAUAGGGACAUCUUCGCAUGGAAACCUUCUGACAUGCCAGGUGUACCUAGAGAACUCGCUGAGCACACUCUUAAUGUUGAUCCAAAAUUUAAGCCGGUCAGGCAGUUCCUUCGGCGGUUUAAUGAAGAGAGGCAGAAAGCUAUUGGUGAAGAGGUGGCCCGGCUCUUGGCGGCCGGGUUUAUUGUUGAUGUUUUCCACCCAGAAUGGUUAGCUAACCCGGUGCUCGUACUCAAGAAGAACGGCACUUGGCGGAUGUGUGUGGACUACACAGACUUAAACAAGGCAUGUCCGGCUGAUCCUUUUGCCCUUCCCCGUAUUGAUCAAAUUAUUGAUGCUACGGCAGGUUGUGCGCGCUUAAGUUUCUUGGAUGCUUAUUCCGGAUAUCAUCAGAUUAAAAUGGCAGUUAAGGACCAGGAGAAGACGGCGUUCAUCACUCCCUUUGGAGCCGUCUGCUAUGUGUCUAUGCCCUUUGGACUCAAGUGUGCGCAGGCGACUUAUCAGCGUUGCGUGCAGAACUGUCUUCAUAACCAGAUUGGGCGCAAUGUUCAUGCUUAUGUGGACGAUAUUGUGGUCAAGUCCAUAAAAGAGGAAACCCUGAUAGAUGAUUUGAGAGAAACCUUUGAUAAUCUCCGGGUCUACAAAAUGAUGCUUAACCCGGCCAAAUGUGUUUUUGGUGUUCCUGUAGGCAAACUCUUAGGUUUCUUGGUUUCUGACAGAGGCAUUGAGGCUAACCCGGAGAAGAUCAAGGCCAUCACCUCCCUGGCUAAGCCGGCGUGUAUAAAUGACGUUCAUCGCUUGGCGGGUCGCAUCGCUGCUUUAAGCCGGUUUAUAAGCCGUUUGGGUGAGAAGGCCAUGCCCUUAUAUCAGUUGAUGAAGAAAACUGAUAACUUUGUCUGGAAUGAUGCAGCUAAUAACGCCUUUGAGGAGUUGAAGAAGCAGCUGGCAGAGCCUCUAGUCCUUGCUGCUCCGGUUGAUAAGGAGCCCUUAUUAUUAUAUGUGGCGGCGAACACACGAGCCGUCAGUGUGGCUAUAGUGGUGGAGCGCAAGGAAGAGGGUAAGGAGCAUCCGGUUCAGCGGCCGGUUUAUUAUGUCAGCAAAGUGCUCAUCGAGUCCAAACAGCGGUAUCCGCAUUGGCAGAAGCUUGUUUAUGGUGUGUUCAUGGCAAGCCGGAAGCUUAAGCAUUAUUUCCAGGGUCAUCCCAUAACUGUGGUCAGUUCUGCCCCUCUUGGCGAUAUCAUUCAAAACAGAGAGGCCACAGGGAGAGUGGCUAAGUGGGCUAUCAAGCUCGGACCUCAUGGUCUCAAAUACGUGCCACGCACUGCUAUUAAAUCUCAGGCCUUGGUGGAUUUCAUCAAUGAUUGGACAGAGUCACAAGUGCCCAAGCAAAAGCCGGAUAACACAUAUUGGACUAUUCACUUCGACGGGUCCAGGCAGUUGGAGAGCUCGGGGGCUGGAGUUGUAUUGGCUUCCCCUAAAGGCGACAAGUUCCAUUAUGUGCUACAGUUGAUGUUUCCCUGCACUAACAAUGCGGCUGAGUACAAGGCCUUUCUCCACGGUCUUCGGAUGGCUAAGGAGAUGAGCUUGAGCCGGGUAAGGUGUUUCGGUGACUCAGACUUGGUGGCUCAACAAGUAUCAGGCAAGUGGGACUCUAAGGACCCUCUCAUGGCGGCUUAUCGCCGCGAAGUUGAUGCCAUUGCUGGGCACUUUCAGGGCUACCAAGUAGAGCACAUUGAUCGCAGGAAGAACGAGGCGGCUGAUGCUCUGAGCCGGCUAGGCUCUCAGCGAAAGCCGGUGCCGCCUAAUACUUUCCUGGAUGUCCUGUAUAAUCCUUCUGUUAAGCUGCCUACAGAGGAAGACUUGGCUGUCCCUGACCCGGAGGCACGACUGGUGGCGGCUCUCCAUAUCAUACCGGACUGGACAAUGCCGUAUCUGGCUUACAUGACCCGGGGCGAGUUGCCUGAGGAUGAAACUUUGGCCAGGCAAAUAACCCGGCGGGCUAAGUCAAUGAUCGUUAUCGAUGGCGAGUUGCAUCAUCGCAGUGUUACAGGAGCAUUUCAGCGUUGUGUCUCCCCUGAGGAAGGUCAAGAGAUCUUGCGUGAGUUCCAUGAAGGGGAUUGUGGCCAUCACGCCGGCUCAAAGUCUCUUGUGGCCAAGGCUUUUCGUCAUGGUUUCUAUUGGUUGAUGGCUCAUGCUGAUGCAGAGGACUUAGUCAGUAAGUGUGAUGGUUGCCAAAGGUUCUCGCGACGGGCUCACGUACCGGCACAAGAGCUGAGGAUGAUCCCAAUUACUUGGCCCUUUGCGUUCUGGGGGCUUGAUAUGGUUGGGCCUUUCAAAAGGUCCAAGGAUAAGAAGACCCACCUUUUGGUGGCAGUUGAGAAAUUCACAAAGUGGGUGGAAGCUGAGCCAGUUAGCAAGUACGAUGCAGCCACGGCGGUUCAAUUUAUGAAAAAGGUGAUUUUCCGCUUUGGCUUUCCGCACAGCAUUAUAACUGACAAUGGCACCAAUCUAUCCAAAGGCGUCAUGGAAGAGUUUUGUCAACGAGAGCAUAUCCGACUUGAUGUCUCCUCAGUUGCUCAUCCUCAAUCCAAUGGUCAAGCUGAGAGAGCUAAUCAGGAGAUUCUGAGGGGCAUCAAACCCCGGCUUUUGGUCCCUUUGCAACGGACACCGGGUUGUUGGGUGGAGGAGUUGCCCUCCGUGUUAUGGAGCAUCAACACUACUCCUAACAGGUCUACAGGCUUCACGCCUUUCUUCAUGGUUUAUGGGGCAGAGGCCGUCCUCCCCAGUGACAUCCGUCAUGACUCACCUCGAGUGGCGGCUUAUGUCGAGGCGGACAAUGAACAUGCGCGCCAAGAUGCUCUUGACUUGUUGGACGAACAGCGUGAUGUGGCCGCAGCUCGCUCCGCGAUUUACCAACAAGACCUGCGCUGUUAUCAUAGUCGCCGGGUUAAAACUCGGGUCUUCCAGGAAGGCGAUCUCGUGCUCCGGCUCAUCCAGGAUCAAACAGAUGCGCACAAGCUCUCCCCGCCUUGGGAAGGACCCUUUGUGGUCAGCAAGAACUUGCACAACGGGUCAUAUUACCUCAUUGACAUUCGGGAGCAUAAAGAUUCACGUAAGUCGGAGGAAGAGACCCGUCGGCCGUGGAACAUAGCUCAGCUUCGGCCUUACUACACUUGAGCCACCAGCUCUCGUGAUGUACAUAUUUCUCUCAGCCAUGUAUAUAUUAUGAUAAGCAAUAAAGCAGGACAUCUGUCCCUUUUUCUCCUCCAAAUAUGCACGUGUUGUUUUCAUUGCAAAAUUACAUGAUGACUUGAAGGAGGAUCCGGCUUAUGAUCGUAUUCGAAUCUAGCCGUAAGCAAUAAGGUCACUUGGGGGCUUCCUGUUCAAACAUGGGUCGCAUUCGAACCAAAGAGAACACAGCUGUCGAUACCCAUUUGAUUGGCAAAGUGCCGAGAUCAUUGGGAGUUUUCUUUGAUCAUAUUUGAAUCUUAGUUUAACCCCUUUGAGAACCGACGUGGAUCGUAUUCGAAUCAACGUCGUUAAACAAUUCUUAAAGUCAUUUGGGGGCUUCCUGUUCAAACAUGGGUCGUAUUCGAACCAAAGAGAACAUAGCUGUCGAUACCCUCUUGAUUGGCAUCGCCACACCCACUGGGGGCUAUAUGAUCAUAUUCGAAUCCUAGCAUAACCCCUUUGGGCCGGGUCUCUGGUCGUAUCCGAACCGGAAGCCCCCAAGUUCCUCUGAUUUAUAGCAAGUUCCGUCUGUUUCUUUCCAAGUGUAUACGGCCGGGUCUCACUUUGCCGGCUUCACUUUGGUUUAUAGUGUUAGCUGAACACAAUGGGUGUUAUUAAGACAGGUAAACCAGAAUUUCGGUACCAACCUUCCUUUCCAGGUUAUCUAAGCCGGAAGUAUGCUUGCAGGCCGCUAAGUAUGUUAUUACGGCUGUAUUCAGGAUAUUAUUGAAGACCAGUCCUUUUUUGAUCUAUAUUCCGGGUUAUCUAAAACCUAUGAUUCUCAGGGCGGUCAGCCUCCUCGAGGUUUGUGAUUUGUCUUUCUCUGCAGGAUAGUUACAGGCAACUAUUUUGAGAGUAAGGAAAACAAAUGAUUAAUUAUGACCCGGAGAAACAUAAAGGAGACAAUUUCAACAGACUUCAGAAUUCAAGGCGUGCACGAUGGCACGACAAAGAUAAAGUAUUGAUCCUACUCUAUUACAAGACUCGUUGAGUCCAAAAGGGUGAGGCAUUGUUUGGUAAACCGCCAGCCGAGUUACGACGCUUGCUGAGUUGAAGUCUCCGGCUCGUUCCUAUCUCCUCCUCCGGCUGAUCCUAAGACCUGGAAAGUUGAUGACUUCCAGUCGUUGCCGCUGAGAGCUUCGAAUGGGGCUUCCUCGUCAAUUAACCCUGCCGGGUCAAUUUCCGGGGUGAAGGUGUGCUGACGAGCCGGCGGGAUCAAGUUGAGGGCUUCAUAGCGUGGAGUAGGGAUCCUCUGAUUUUCUGCAUCGUAACCCGGCUGAUACUUAGUCAGAUCUGUAUCAUUGCCAAUCAGAGUGGCCACCGGGCGUACGGCCUUCACGCAAGCUGCGAAGUCCUUCUGGUCGAAAGCUGAGCCGUCUUCCUUCAGGCUUGGAUAGCCAAGGGCGAUGUCCGCCGGGUCUAACUCCGGUAGGAACGCCUUGGCCCGGCUCAGCACGGCGAUUGCUCCGGCUCUUGCAGAGGCCCGUCGCAGCUCUUGGAUCCGUUGAGGCAGUACAGCGAGCCGGCGAAGGACUUCUGCCAGGUGAGUCGGCACCUCGUUGGAUAGGGCCACCACAGCUAAGGCACGCUGUGACCCGGUGUAGAGCUGCUCCACCAGGGUAUACACGGCCUUCAGCUUGGUUACCACGCUCUAGUUGAGGUUGGCACUUCUGGGACCUGUUUAACAGAAUCAGAUAAGCCGCCGACAAAGAUGAAUUAUGAGAUAUAAAAAUUCUAAACUUGAUGAAAGCCGGUGAGGCGACUUACCGAAGAUGGCGGCCACCAUCUGGGACACCUGGCGCUUUAGGACGGAGAGCUUCGCGGUCUUCUCGGAGAGAGUCUUUUCCGCCUGUUCAGCCCGGUUCACCAAUGCGGCCUUUUCUUCGGCCCACGCCUUCCGCUCAGCGUCAAACUCUGUCUUCAGCUUCUCUUGCGCGGCGAUGCUGGAUACAAACUUGGCGUUUGCCUUUCGGGUCUCCAUCUCUUGCAUCUUCAGCCGGUUCUUGAGAUCAGCCAUGUCAGCCUCUAGCUUCUUGCCAGCAGCCUGCAUACAUUUCCGGGUUAUGACAUGAACAGUUAUUAUAUAAGUCCCAAGCGUUUUCCAAGCAAAGACACUUGGCACUUGGGGGCUAAUGCAUAUUGAACGUAUCUAUCUACAAACCGCCGGCUCAAUUGAGUAAGCCGGAACCUAAGUCUACAACAUAUUCAAUCAUAAGUCGUCGACUUGGGGGCUAGCAUGGUAGAGGUAACUAUGCAGUAAGUAAGAGGACAGCAGAAUGAUACCUCAGAUUUCUGCUGGAUCUGGUUCACCAUGGCAACCUCUGCGUCCCGGCUCUUGUGCACUUGGCUGAUGUAGCCAGAGACGAGCUCUCCAAUGCUCAGGUUGGCGUAGUCGGAGAGGUCCAGGUUCACCCGGUGGGGCUGCAGCAACUCCCCCUUAGCGGAGCACUUGGCCAGCACGGUAGGUCUCCCCGGCUCAACGAACUCCGUCUGGGUGAUUACCACGUCCGGGUCGUCUGCUGGUGGAGCCGAGCUGGAGGCCUCCGGGUUAACAGAAGCUUCUGUAGUUGCCUUGGUAGUUGGGGCAGCAGCGGCCUCAGGUGCAGAGGCGGCUGGCGGCUCUUGAGCGGCUGCCUCUGGUUCAGGCAAGUCCGACUCAUCGACCGGCUUGGAUUUCUUCGCCCUCUUGGUGAUCUUGGCCUGGGCACUGAAAGGACAAAAAGAUUAAACACAAUAGGGUAAGUGAAGACAAGUAUAACAUGAGAUGGUUGUCAUUACCCGGGCGCGGUCUUGAAAGCCGGAAGACUCGACUGCAUAGAGUCGCCCGAAGAGGGGGAGGUCUCCUGAUAAUUUGAGUCAGAAGAAUUGAGUGGCUGACGGAUAACACCCGCCAACGGAUGAAAAGGGUACAAGUGGGAAAUAACCUCAGUUCGGCGCUUCCUCGAUGCGUCAGGUAGCCCGGAGGAGAGGUCGGUGUCCUUGUUGGUCCGGGUGUGACGCCGGCUUUCAUGAACCUAUCGCUUCAAAAUAAAUUGAGGGUCUUGAUAAGCUAAAGGAUGUGAAAAGCUUACUUUCCGGAUUACCCUUCGGACUUUCAGCUUUGGCAAGGGCUCCGAGUCAGAGGAAAGUGACAUUACCUCUUCAACCACCGGGUUACUUGCGCCGGUGUCAUCUUGUCAAUGAGCAAGUAUUGAUAAGGCGGACAGCAACAAACAACAAAUACAGCAAGGACUUAAAGGCUCAGGGGUUACCUCUGACUCGGAGCUGUCGCUUAAUUGCAUCAGCUCUGAAGCAGUAGGCCUGCUUCCUUUCUUGCGAGGGGCAGCUUUCUUGGCGGCUUUCUUCGCCUUUCUGGCCUUCUUGGCCGCCUCAUGGUCGUAUUUGACCCGCCAGAACUUAUCAUCAGCCUGAAAAAUGCAAUGAGGUUUUCUUAAAACAAUUCAGAUGAAAGUCAUGUACAAAUAAGAUGUUCAGAUCAACGGCUUACCGCUGGGGCUGGGUUGGUCUUGCAGAAGGGGGCUAGCCCGGUCCUUCCGCAGUCUGCCAGGCUCUCGUUCAAAAGAGCCUUGGUCAUAUCUUCUGCAACGUCUUCAGAAAGAUCGUUGCGGCUGUGUCUCUGAGGGUCAUCCUUUCGACCCGUGUACUCACACAUUAAGCCGGGGCGGCGGCUCAAUGGGAUCACCCGCCAUGAGAUCCAGACCCGGACCAGGUCGAUUCCAUUCAGACCAUUGCCCAGGAGAGCCUUGAUCUUAUUGAUAGUGGGGAGCAGAGGUUGGCGCUCCGCUUGAGUCAGCUUGUCUGACAGUGGGUGAGUCGGCUCCAGACGCGAGGGGCGAAAGCCGAGCAACGGACUCUCGUCAGCCGGCGACGUGUCUUGGCAGUAAAACCACGUCAGAUUCCAGUCCUUGGGGUGGCUGGGCGGCACUGCGUAAGGGAAAAGGCAGUCCCUACGCCGCUGGAUGGAGAUGCCACCUAACUCCAGACUUGGCCCAUUGGCGCACUCAUUCUGACGGUUCAAGUAAAAAAGCUCUCUGAAGAGCAGCAUACUAGGUUCUUCUCCAAGGUAAACCUCGCAGAAUACUUGGAAGUUGCAGAUGUUGGACACUGAGUUGGGUCCUAUGUCCUGAGGCCGCAGAUCGAAGAAAUUCAGAACAUCUCUGAAAAACUUUGAGCCGGGCGGUGCAAAGCCCCGGCUCAUAUGAUCCGCAAAAAUCACUACCUCCCCGUCCUUUGGCUGUGGUCUCUCUUCUGACGGGUCAGGGGCACGGUAGGACAUGACGUCCUUCUUGGGCAGAUAUCCAGACUUGACAAAAUCUGCUAGGGUCUCAUUGGUGACAUUGGACCUCAUCCAGUUGCAAGUAAUGGAGGCUUUGGGAGCUUUGGGAGGCAUGGUGAAAGUCGGCAGUCUAUGAUAAAAGGAAAAACGUCCGGGUUAAUUAUGAGCCGGAAGAAAUCUACAGUUCAAUGUCAAGUUGGCGGCUUAUGAAGGGGACUAAUGGUAUACAUUUAAGUGCAUCGGGCUAUUUAAGCCGCCGAGGGAUUGAGAGUAAUUUGAUUGUCUACAGGCCUUAUCACAGCUAAGCCGGAAAUUUUAUGGCGCAUGGUUUUCUUUAAGACGGAAGGCUCUACGGCGCGUGGUUUCUUUAAACCAGAACUGUAAACCGCCGAGAUUCAAUGAUUGCAGUUUUUUACUAAGUGUGGUAAACAGGUUUCACACAUCGCAGUAAAAUUUUUGGAUCAACAUGGUCGGGUAAAAGAAAAGUUUCUAGACCUAGAAACAGACGAGAGGAGGUUCUUGAGCUUGAACAAGGCUCUUAUGCAGUAAAAAGAGGGAUAUUUGCAUGAGAAAUGGGUCUUCAACGUCUACCGCAGUAAAUCUAUACAGAGCUAAGAUCAAAAAGGAGCAGUAAAAUUCAAAUCUACUGAGAGCCGCGAUGAACUACGAAGAACAGAGGAAGAACUAUGAAGCCCUAGUGCGGAUCUGCCCUAUGGAGUGGCGAGGGCUCACCGGAGCUGAGGAGGAGCGGAGGUUGCCGCCGUUUGUCUGGACCAAGUCAGGGUGAUGCAGCGGCCAAGGUGACGAAGACCGGGGGCGCGACGGCGGCGGCAGUAGCAGAGCUCGGGCAGGGGAGCAGUGGCGCGAGGAAGAAGAUGAAGGAGAGAGAAGUGGCUGAGAGCCCGUCGGGCCGGCCUAUUUAUAAGGCGAGCUCAUAAGUGGGCGCGAGAAUCAAGGAGACCACGGCGUGGUUAUCUCCCCACGAAACGCCUCGAUUUUCGGGAUGACAGUAAAGAAAAAGAUCCGUUGCGGAUCUGGUGGAGUAAAAACGGACUUAAUGGAAGAUGACGUCAUGGCGGAUUACCCGGAGUCCAGAGGAUGACGUCACGCCGGGUUAUGGCCUUCACAUAAUUGUAAGCCGGAGAUUUUCUGUCGAAAAGAUUGAAGAUUGACAUGAGCCGGCUCAAAUCAAUCUGGGGCCUAAUGUUGAGGAUAUAGACCUUAGAGUCACCCGCCAGGAGGGGCCGGGUUACUCAUAAUGGUCAUUGCCAGAAGCCUGGCGACAAGCCUGAAGACGGUGGGCCAAAGAUGGGCUUAAGACCCGGAUAUGGCUUAAAAGCCCGUAGUUACAAUCAUUAUUAUGGUAGAACUUGUAGUGUAAGGCAAGAAUAGUUGAGAGUCCGAGCCGGACACUCUUAUGAGCCGGCCGGGACUCUGAGAGCUGCGGGGCAUCAGCCUCCCUAUAUAAAGGGAGGACCCGGCAGCGGUUUAGGGACGAGAACGAUCUCAUCGAGAGCCGGGCAUAGCAGUUUAGCUCCCUGGUGAUCGUAACCCUAAUCAAUACCACCUCAAACUGGACGUAGGCUUUUACCUUCACCGUAAGGGGCCGAACCAGUAUAAACCCUCGUGUUCCUUGUCCCGCAUUAACCCCUUCAAGCUUCCUAGCUGCGAUGGCUCCACGACUAAGUCCUAGCUCGAGGACAUCUGCCGUGACAAUUCCACGACAGAAAGCGUAGAACAUGAACUUGAGGAGACGGAAGGAUACUUGGCUUGAGGAACAACACAAUGCCACCGGAAGAAUUGAAAGAGUGGAAUGAAAAGAACGGAGAAGAAAAUGACAUCUUCUACCACGAAUGAAUUUUAAAAGCAUCGUUACGAAGAAAAGAUUGAACGAAGUUGUUGAGAAAAUCAACAACAAAAGAAUUGCUUUUUGUGGACUUAUAGAUAACAUCUCAAAAUUAUGAGGUGAUCUCCGACCACAAGCGGAAAAGAUUGAAUAGCUGAGAGAGAACGAAGAAAUGCAAAACUCCACUUCAAAAGAAUGCAGAGAAUUAAUUGCGCUUCGAGAUGCAAGAAGAAAAAGAUACUUGAGCUCCUUCAACAAGAAUCUUGAUGAACACUUGAAGAAUGAAUUAAAUACUGACGAACCACCGUGAAAUGGGUAAGGAAGGGGUAAAGUGGUGAGGUUGCAGCAGCGGCUAAGCAAAGUAUGGUGGCUAACUUACGAAUACAAGAGCGAGAAGAGGAGCUGAACAAGCGGACGUCAACUAGUAACGAUCAAGAAGUGAUCCUGAACUCCUACUUACGUCAAACAUAACCCCCAAACCGUGUUCUCCUCUCGAACAACCCCGAAAAGAGAGAAUCACGGUUACGCACGCGGUUGGUGUAUUUUAGAAGAGUUUACUUCAAGUUUAGUACAACCGGAUAUUAACAAAUUCCCAUCUGCCACAUAAUCGCGGGCACGACUUUCGAAAGUUCAAACCCUGCAGGGGUGUCCCAACUUAGCCCAUUAUAAGCUCUCAUGAUCAACGAAGGAUAUUCCGUCUCCCGGGAAGACCCGAUCAGUCUCGGAAUCCCGGUUACAAGACAUUUCGACAAUGGUAAAACAAAUCCAGCAAGACCUCCCAGCGUGCCGACAACCGGAUAGUAGCCGCGCGUAUCUCGUCUCAGGCCACGACCGGAUGAGCAGUCCGUACAACUAAAACCAUGCCUCGAGUUUCCUCGAGGUGGCGCUACAAGGGGCUCUAGUUCGGACCAACACUUAGAGAAGCAUUGGCCGGGGGGGGGGGCUAAAAUAAAGAUGACCCUCUGGUUAAUUACUCCCAAGGGAAAGGUAUAGGUGGUAGGUAGGCAAAUGGUAAAACCAAUGUUGGGCCUUGCUGGAGGAGUUUUAUUCAAGGCGAACUGUCAAGGGGUUCCCAAAACACCCAACCGUGUUAGGGACGCAAAAACCGGGAACAUAAUACCGAUAUGACGGAAACUAGGGCGGCAAGAGUGGAACAAAACACCAGGCAUAAGGCCGAGCCUUCCAUCCUUUACCAAGUAUAUAGAUGCAUUAAUAAUAUAAGAGAUAUUGUGAUAUCCCAACAUAAACAUAAUCCAACAUGGAGCAAUCUUCAUCUUCACCUGCACCUGGCAACGCUAUAAGAGGGGCUGAGCGAAUGCGGUAACAUAGCCAAACAACGGUUUUCUAGGAAGGGUGACAAAGGUUAGAGGUUCAUGGCAUUUUGGGGAGGCUUGAUAAGCAAGUGGUAGGUAACGCGUCAUAACGAUAGCCUCGAGGCAACUAGCAUAUCAAUGAUAGUAAUGAGAUCCAAGGUGACGGUCAUCUUGCCUGAAAUCCCGCUAGGAAGAAGAACGAGUCCAUGAAGAAGAUGAAGCCACGAAGACGAACCAAGCGUAGACGAACGAAUCCUCACGACCGCAACGAAACGGGAAUUAUCGAGAAGAAGCACAUAACAUAGUAAACACACCACACAUGAACAAGGCAUGAUGCUCAACCAAGUAUCAUGCAUGACAAGGCUACAUAAGGCUACGCAUGGCAAGAGAUGAUGCAUACAAGAACAACACAUCAAAGCAAGUUUAAAUUAGGCCAGAAACAACAUAUAACAAUUCCGGUAAAUCCCCAUAUGCAAAUUUCGAAAUUGGUCCAGAUCUGAAUAAACAUUAUGUUCAAGUUGUUAAACAGUAAGUUAAGAUGCACCAAAUGAUCUACACGAAAUUCUAGUCAAGUUACAUAUAAAGUUCAUUUAAUUUGGAGCUACGGCCUAGAAGAUAUGAGCAAAACAAGUUAAACAUGGCAUUCAUGCAAAAUGCAUUCAAACAUCAAAAAAACACACUCAAAACAUGGAUGCAACAAGGUAACAUGAAACUACAUGCAAAAUUAAGCAAGUUUCAUAUAGAGCACACUCAAAACGGAGCAACGGUUCAACACAUACACAUGAAACAAGUUUAAAGGACAAGCUGUCCAAAACAGCAACUAGGCAUCUUGCAAGCAUCAAAACAAUAUGCUACAAGACCUCAACAUGAGAUCAAAUGACAUGGACGUGAUGUACAGGUAAAGCAUUACAAAACAUGAACGCUGAGAUAUCUCCAGAAAUCACUAGAACAUGCUCAAAAGGACAUGGCAAGAUUGCAAAUAAUAACAGUUUCACAUACUUAGCAGAAAUCACUGUGCAUGGCAGAAAUAACAUAAGGUUGCCAUGUUUAGAGCUAUCAAUAACAUGCUACAGGAACUUAUCAUGGCAACCAAAGGCAUGGAAUGCUAGUACUAAAACCAAUUAAAAAAACUCCCUUAGUGAACUUAUUCCAAAGAUCAUCAGAAAAGAUGGUAGCACCCAUGCAAACAUGGCAAAUGAUAUGACAGAUUCAGACAGUGAAAAUAACAGCACAUGGCAGGAACAACAAGUAGGCAUGUUGGUGAGCUUGUACAACUCACUACAGAGCAUUAAAUGGAAUGAAAAGGUAACCAACAGUAAGAAUACAUGUUCAUGAAGAUAAGAAUAACAAUAUCAUAGACAUAGGGUGCAUGGAUAACCAGCAAAACACAUGGCAAAACUGAACUUAAUGUUAACAGGUUGACAGCAACAUUAUUUAGCAAUUUGAGAGCAAGAUUACAAUAAGCUACAACAGGUUAUAAAUGCAACCAACAGCAUGGAUGAUAGAGCAUCACAUGUGUAGAAAAACAUCCUUAGUGAACAUAUCUAUAUUAUGCAUAUAUUAAUUGGUAGCAUCAAGCAAAGAUAGCAACAUGAUAUAACAGUUUCAGCAUUGACAGAACAUUAACAGCAAGUAGCCCACUUCACGAGCUUGAUGCACUCACCACAAGGAACACAAAAAUACAUGGAUUACCCCACUAUAAAGAUGGCAUAAAUAUGCUCCUAAAACAUGUAGACAUAAUGCUCAAAGGAUGCACACACGAAAUGCAACGAAAAUGACAAAUCACCAAGUUAUAACAAGUUUCAGCAGUUAACAUCAUAUGGCACUCUUACAACAUUGAUUAGAGCAUCAAGAUGAACACAAACAAGCAUACCACAAUGGAACAAAAUGAAGACCGUCUCAUGACGAACAAUUUUACAUAUCAUACACACAAAUCGGAACUACGAUCAUGGAGAUAUGAUGCAAUGAAUAUGGCAAUAGAAUGUAAAGUUUUCAGGACUUGGAAGAAAAACCACCUCGCGGAAACUGGACGGGGACGACCCGGGACGGAGAGAACCGGGACGGGGCACGCGUGUUUGGAUCAAUGAGCGGGUGGAUCUGGUCCCACUUCACCGGAUCCGGCCGGAGGACGAACUCCGGUGACGGCAGCGACCUCCGGCGAGGUGGCGACCGGCAGGGGAGGCACGAGACGACGCGAAGAGGAGGCGGGGCGAGCGGGCGGCGCCGGCGNNNNNNNNNNNNNNNNNNNNNNNNNNNNNNNNNNNNNNNNNNNNNNNNNNNNNNNNNNNNNNNNNNNNNNNNNNNNNNNNNNNNNNNNNNNNNNNNNNNNNNNNNNNNNNNNNNNNNNNNNNNNNNNNNNNNNNNNNNNNNNNNNNNNNNNNNNNNNNNNNNNNNNNNNNNNNNNNNNNNNNNNNNNNNNNNNNNNNNNNNNNNNNNNNNNNNNNNNNNNNNNNNNNNNNNNNNNNNNNNNNNNNNNNNNNNNNNNNNNNNNNNNNNNNNNNNNNNNNNNNNNNNNNNNNNNNNNNNNNNNNNNNNNNNNNNNNNNNNNNNNNNNNNNNNNNNNNNNNNNNNNNNNNNNNNNNNNNNNNNNNNNNNNNNNNNNNNNNNNNNNNNNNNNNNNNNNNNNNNNNNNNNNNNNNNNNNNNNNNNNNNNNNNNNNNNNNNNNNNNNNNNNNNNNNNNNNNNNNNNNNNNNNNNNNNNNNNNNNNNNNNNNNNNNNNNNNNNNNNNNNNNNNNNNNNNNNNNNNNNNNNNNNNNNNNNNNNNNNNNNNNNNNNNNNNNNNNNNNNNNNNGCUCGCGCGGGAGCGGGGCGGCAGCGGAUGGGUUCGGCGGGCCUGGCGCGGGCUCGCGGGCCAGCGGCGCCUGCAGAGGUGGGAGGAGGCGCGGGGGACACAUGGCGGCGGCGGAUUGGCUGCGGAGGCCGGCUUGACGUGUCCGGCGGUGCGAGGAGGUGGAAGCUUGGGUUCAUCCGCGAAAAAUGGAGGGGGAGGACCUAUUUAUAGGUAGAGGGAGCUAGGAGAGUCCAAAUGAGGUGCGGUUUUCGCCCACACGAUCACGAUUCAAAGACCGAGAGCAUGGAGGGGGUUUGGAUGGGAUCAUGGGCUGUGGUGAAGGGGUGCUAGGCUGCAAAGAGAGAGGGGUUUCAGGCUACGCGGUUAACCGUUAGGGCGUCAAACGGACUCCGAAUGCGACAAAAAUUGACAGGCGGUCUACCUACUCUAGAACAACACUGCACGCCAAGUUACAUCCCAUUCCGAGAACAUUUAAAUGCCACUCACGAAACGAGGUCUGAGAGGGGCAACGGGUGCGUGUUUGAGUGUCGGAACGCGAAACGGACCACGGGGCAAAGGACCGGAUGCAAGUUUUGAAAACAUGAGGAUGCAAUGCAGAUGAUGACAUGGCAAAGAUGCAACACGCAAGCGAAUGACAUGGCAAAGGCGGCGAAUAACUGGAAGACACCUGGCGCAUCGGAUCUGGGGCGUUACAUCGGAUGACUUCUCUCGUAAGCCAUUCAGUCUGCGUCAGUAUCAUACUAUUACACCGUCCUCAGAGAUUAUAUGAUGAGUUGGCAAUAUAUGGCAGUAUCGCUCAAGAAUCAGACUCGCAACAUUUUUGCCGGAAGCACAAGUCAGUCAAGGCAUAGGUCUUCUUCAGAAAUCAAGUGUCCGAUUAUGUAUCUUUCCGCACUUAUGGUGAACAUGUAUCCCCAGUCAUAUCAGUCACUCAUAUGAGAUGCGUCAAGGAUCCAGCAGAUAUACCUAAGGAGAGUAAGGAUUCAACAACCUCACGAGUCAAGUAAAGGAAAAUAAGCAGAGAUACAUCUCAUGAAUUACAAGGAUCGACAAGAUCUAGGGAUGACAUCACAGAAUCCACAGUCUUGACAAUGGUCAUCAAGGUCAUUAUUCCCGCACCAGACAAGGUGAUAUCAUGAAACCUUGUCACCUUCUUGUAUGAUUGGCCUCAGCAAUGAGCUCCGUACAACUACAAACCCCGAGUAUAUGUCAUAUAUGUGCGGACACAGGUCAGAAAAACAAGCACAAGGAAUAAUGUCAAAAAUAUUAAUCACAUCCAUGGUCAUACGAAGAAUCAAGGACAGGCGUGGCCAAGUUAUUUCAGCAAGGUAUCAUGACAAAGAAAAUCAUGACCGUUAAAAGGUGAGACCGACAACAAAGGUAUGAUGAUUUUGCACGACCAUCAGGGUCCGGAUACCCCAAGUCAGUUGGAGGCCAUAAUUCCAUAUGGAUCCACAAAGACAUAUACCUUCAGCGGCCUACUCUAUUUACAAGGAUUUUCAUAUCCCGCUGACCCGCUUGACAUGGUUAGUGUGGAAUAUCCAAGUCUGUUCUGUCAGAUCCAAGAUUCCUUUGCAACCUCAACAGUUUGACCUCAGCAGCAGUGUAAAAACAUAUCACAGUGUAUUACCAAAGAUGGGUGUACCGACAAAAUGAGAAAGUCAAAAGCCGAAUAAUCAGCUCAGACCCGGUAUACUCGCCGACGGAAUCAAGUACACAGUCAGUCUGUCAGGAAAAGCAUUUGUCCGUCAGCCCCCUGUCGGGCAAAGUCUCAAGAUGUAAAUAUUUGAGGUAUGACAUAGGUAUAACUCCAUACACCGUUAUAUUGCUCACGACAGAAGGCAGUCAAAUCUCUGGUAUAUGCCACAUGCUCGGGCCAAAGGAAAUAAAUCAAGAUAAAUCAGUGCCACCUAUGAGCGGUUAGAUCCCGUCAAAAGAUGGCCAUGAUUAAUUCUAAGCAUUUAUUGAACCGAGAAGGCUUGCAUUUAUUUGAAGCAACCCCAUGACAGAAGUAAAAGGGUUUUCAUGACCAAAGGAAAAUUUAUGCUCAGAUCCAUUGGAUAUCACCGCAGAUAUGAGAAAAUUCACGUCAGCAAAAGGAAAUGGUAUAUGAGCAAAAAACCCGUCAGAAUUUGGGGAAAGGUGAAGCAAGCCACCCCAGAGCAAGGUAAGUUGAUCAUCCGAAAUUCUUGGGGGAACAAUAAAUAAAGGAAAAAGGAUACCCGAGUUGGAAACGGUAUCCUCAAGUCAUACUUGUUCCCAGAGCAACUAAAUCUCGAGGACGAGAUUUCUUUAAGGGGAUAAGAGUUGUAACAGCCUGGAUUCUGGCCCUUACCUUUUUCUUUUGAUUUAUUUGAUUUUUGCUCUGUUUUUCUUUUUGAAGUGGUUCUGUGGCCUUGCCACCUGGAAAAUCAUCCUCAUUCCCCCUCCCAAGUGGCUCCGCAUUCUCAAAACCUUGCCAAGCUCAUGUCACUUCACUCCUUGACCAAACCCUAAAAUCUUUUCUAGGGAAUAUUCCUUUUCCUAAUAAAGGAAUAACCCUAUCUGCCCUAGGUUAUGAAGCAACCCAUAUUUCUGUCCAUCCAAAAAUUCCCAAUUAAUUCUCAAAAUUCCUUUGGGUCAUAUGUUCAAAUAUGCCCAAACUUCCCUGUCCUAGCCCAAGAAUAAUUCCCCAAUAAUUAUUCUUCAUUUCUGUCCUGAAUGGCACUUUGUGAAGGAAGUGUCAUUUAUAUUUUCCUAGUGGCUCCCAAGAUUUUUGGGCAUGCUUAUAUGUCCAAAUAAUUGCCUCAUGCACAAGUUCAACUUUAUUUGCCUAGCCAAUCUUCCUUAGUGAAUUUUCAAAGUUUCUGUCAAACAGAAGGCUUUGUGAAGGAAGUACUAUCUAGGAGUAUCCAAAUGAGUUAAACUUUUGCACACUCCUUAAUGUGCUCAUAUUAACCCCCUACACCCAUUUGCAGCCUCAUCCAAUCAUCUAUGUGAGCACAGGAGCAAAUAUUUGAUUCUAGCAAUAUUUUCAGGUUAUGAAGCAAGUGUAUUUUAUAUUGCUUAAAAAAUCCUGAUAAAUUAACAGAUCAUUCUUCUACCCAUAAAACAUCUCUCCACCCAAUUUGGCAUCAUUUCAUGGAUCCAUUUGAUCACCAAAAUUAUUUCAAGUUUCUGGACAGAAAUGAUGCUUGUGAAGCAAGUGCCAUUUUGGCUUAUCCAUUUGGCAUGAGCUUUUUACAGCAUCUUUAUAUGUCCAUAUCAUGAGGAUUUGCCAAGUUGCAUCCCAUUCCAUAACACCAUAUGAGUGCAUCAUCCAAAUCAUGAUUCUGGACCAAUUUUGGGGUUACACAGCAACUAUAUUAGUUUGUGCUCCAUUAUGCACCAAAACCUCCAGGAUCAUAAUCCUUUUGUAGUUAAUCAUCCUAAACAACACCAUUUGACCCAAUCAGUUUCUUGUUGAUCAGCAGUCCAAGUUUGAUGCAGUAAACUUCAGAGCUUAGUUACCAUUCAACCAUAGCACACCAGAUCAAGCCAUGGCAUCAUAAAUGAUCCACCCUGGAAGGACUAGCUCCCAGACAUAGUUUGCCAUCCUCUACAGCCCUCCCCGUGCCAUGUCGUGUGGUGACCGCGCAGCUGGCAUGCACAUUUACGCGCUCUGUGCACUGUGGCAUAUCCAGAGCACCGUUUGUGCUUUGGCACCGCUCCCUCUCGUCGUCUUAGAGCUCGUGAGCAUGUCCAGUGGCUGCAUCUCGUCGUCGUCGUUCCCCUGGACCCCCCUCCCCCUCCAUCAGCUUCCUCACCGACGCAAACCGCCGCGUGCCCACGGACGUACAGUGGCGUUUUGGCUCGGUUCGUCGCCGUCGUCUUCCUCCCUGCGCUCCCUUGGCCGCCUCUUCCCCGUGAGCUCUCCCUCCUGUCCCCUCUCGUCGCCUAACUCCGAGCUCAUGCGUGUGCACACGCGUCCGCGGCGCCGGACACGUAGCCACGGUGACGCCAGCUCGGCCUCCUCGCCUCGCGCCUAUUUAAGGCCUCCCCUGAGCCCUCCGAGCGCUCCAAGCUCUUCCUCACCCUCCCAGCAACCUCCCCGACCCAUCCGUUCGACUCCAGAGCCCCUCAUCGCCUCGGUUGGCCGCCAUGGCCGCCGCGGCCACACUUCCCGAUUGGCUCAAGCCGGAGCCCCUCUUCUCAUUCCGCCUUCACUAGUAGCUCAACCAGACCCCGACGAACCUCUCCCAUCCCUCUUUUCCUCGCCGGAGCCGCUGUGGCCACACGCCCAAGUUUCGGCCGCCGCCCUCGUUCUUGGUCGCCGCAAGCCAUCGUCGUUCCGCUCCGUCCUGGCGCAGCUGCGGGGUGCAGACGGGUGCGGCACGUCUCGUCGCACUCGCUGGUGCUCUUACUCCCGCGGGAGGUGGCCGGAGAUGGCUGGGCCGGCGCCGGCCUCGCUGCUGCCUCCUCUGCUCUGCGGGCGCGCAUCGGGCGACAGGAAGGAGAUGAGGCUGCUCCCUGCUAGCUGGCCGUGGACCCCGCGAUCCCACCUGGCAGUGUCUCAAGCCGCGGCCCUGCCCCUGCUGACUCGAUUAAGUGGAGGCGUAAACCCGUGAGUGCGUUUCCGCUUUCAGAAAGCGUCUUUUCCUUCUCCUUCAGCCAAACUACGCUUCCCUUACCUGAAAGCGUAUUCUGUGUCUAUUUCAGCAAGGAAUGCGUUUUCCCUGAAGCGAAGGCGUAUUCAUUAAAGUACGCUUUCUGUUUUUCUGUCCAGGCUCAAUUUGUUAAGAAUUUUCUUACAGAUAGGUCUCUGGCAGAAAAACAAGUGUAUCUUUUCAACCGUAGCUCCAAAUCAGGUGAUUCCAAAGCCCACGUCUUCGUUUUGUCGAGCCCGUUCUGAUGGAACCAUUUUCACCAUGUUUUGACAUUCCGAAUAUGACCAUUUUGCCCCUGCCCUUAUUCAGCCCCCUCUGAGAGAGUACGUUUUCCGGUGAUCCUUUCCGCGAGUUUCUCGCACUUUCUCCCGGUGAUUUCUUCCACCCCAGGCAAUCCACACCCUCCAUUUGCAUCACUGUAAUGCAGUGACAUGGUUUAAUCUAUUUGAACUUGUUUAAAAUAUUGCUUUAGCUACAUGACUUUGUGCAUGGCAUUUUCUCGGAGUAUUAUUUUGAUUUUGUUGUUGCCCUGCUAUUGUUUGGUUUACUAGGAGUUAUGUUUGUAGUUGAUGAGUAUCAUGUUGCCGUUGGAGUAUUAGUGGUUGAUAUUAUGAUUGUUUUCAUGAUGAUAUCUGUUAUUAUAUUUUGGAGUAUUACUUUGGAUGUCAUGCUGCCUUUGGAUUAUUAGUGGUUAGUAUGAUUAUUUUCAUGAUGCUAGUCGAUGUUCUAUUACUGUUGCUUGGAGUAUUAAUUUCUGAGAUGAUGUUUACGUGUGGAUCUUAGCUGGAUAGCUUUGUUCUUGUUAUUGGAGUAGUAAAGUUAUUGUUUUCAGAUUCAUCGUGAUAGAAAUGGUAUGCUAUCUUUGGAGUAUUUUGAUAUGAUGAUAUUAUGCUCAGAUUAUUUGUUGGAUAUUGCUAUGACUUGGAUUAUAGUUUGAUAGUUGAUAUCGGAGUAUCAGUUAUCACAAUUAUAUUUUUGGGGAUAAAACCCGUCAUUAAGUUAGUCAGGUGCCACCGAACCGGGCUUUCUCUAGUUCAACCACAUUUUCCUUUAUGGGAAUGCCCUAAUGCGAUGCUAUUGCCAUGUCUCUCGCCGGUGCCUCCAACGAGGGAAGGUUAUGGGCGCGCGCUACCCUGAUCAGGUAGGCGUACAUAAGCCUUGUGUGCCCGUAGUUGGAUUUUGCGUGCUUUUGUCCCCGUUUGGGACCGUUUUUGUUUGCCACGACGGUGGCCAUUUUGCCACGACGGUGGCCGUUGGUGCCUUUGGUAGGCACGGGCCACCCAGGACUGAACCCAAAGGGGGUGUUGGUCGGAGUGGCCGGGAGAGUGUCAUGGCAGUAGAUCGGUUUUGCCGGAACGCCGUUGGUCCACCCGAAUGGGAGUGCGAGGCCAUGGGUUCCGUGGUGUGGGUACAGUGAGCUACCUCUGCAGAGUGUGUGUUUAAGCUAUCGAUAGCCGCGUCCGUACUUGGUCACACCGUUCGAUGAACACUCACGUGACGGAAUGACUUAUAGUUGAUUUAUAAGAUGUAUGUGAGCAAUAACAGUUUGGCAGGAUGUUGAUGAUGAUGUUGAGAUGAUCUUGAGGAUGAUCAUUCAGUUUGUGAUGUGGUCACGAGGUGACCGUGUGGAUAUGUUGAUCACGAGGUGAUCAUGUGGAUGUUUUGAUCAUGAGGUGAUCAUAUGGACCACGAGGUGGUCGAGAUGGUAUAUUGCUUGGCCGAUUAGCCAAGAAUGAGAUUGUUGUUGGGAAUGAGAUGUUGGUUUAUCAGUAUUGUAGUAGUUUCAUAUCAUGCUUAGUAGUUGUUGUCGUAUCAUGGUAGAUGUUAAUUUAAUUAACCCGCUUAAUGCUAUGUUGUUGUCUUGCCUUGAUGCUUUUGGUUGUUGUGAGCUUGCAAGUACAUUCAAUGUACUGACCUGGCAUGUCAUGCCAGAUUGCAGGUGAUGCCGUGAUUGCUUGAUUGCUUGUCGUAGUUUCCGUUCAUGCGAGCUAGAUCGUGUCCCGGCCAGAGUCCCUGCGGAGUGGAGCUCACCACCUUCGUCGUUGUUCCGCUGCUAGAAGAUUUUCACUACUUUGAGUUGUUCCGCUGCUAGCAUAGAGCAAGUGUAGUAUCGCAGGCGUAGUGUCGUCGUGCUGAUGUGAACCUUUGUAACAUCAGACCUUUGUAUUUAUUCUUAUAAUAAGAGCUGAUUUGUUCUAUGUCAAGCAGUGCCGUAUUCCAGAGACUUCUCCUCGAUCUCUGGGCUGGAAUACGGGGCGUUCUGGUUUCUCUGAGCCGGGGUGCCACA